AGAGUUUGAUCCUGGCUCAGGAUGAACGCUAGCGGCAGGCUUAACACAUGCAAGUCGAGGGAGAAGCGAUGUAGCAAUACAGAGCGGGAACCGGCGCAAGGGUGCGUAACGCGUGAGCAACUUGCCCGCAUCAGGGGGACAAUCGGUGGAAACGCCGUCUAAUACCCCAUAACACAGAAGGUGACAUCUCCUUUUGUUGAAAGCUCCGGCGGAUGCGGAUGGGCUCGCGUGGCAUUAGGUAGUUGGCGGGGUAACGGCCCACCAAGCCGACGAUGCUUAGGGGAACUGAGAGGUUUGUCCCCCACACUGGGACUGAGACACGGCCCAGACUCCUACGGGAGGCAGCAGUGAGGAAUAUUGGUCAAUGGCCGGAAGGCUGAACCAGCCAUGCCGCGUGAAGGAUUGAGGUCCUAUGGAUCGUAAACUUCUUUUGUGCGGGAGCAAUAAGGGCCACGUGUGGUCCGAUGAGAGUACCGUACGAAUAAGCAUCGGCUAACUCCGUGCCAGCAGCCGCGGUAAUACGGAGGAUGCGAGCGUUAUCCGGAUUUAUUGGGUUUAAAGGGUGCGUAGGCUGCUUGGUAAGUCAGCGGUGAAAUACAGGCGCUCAACGUCUGCCGUGCCGUUGAUACUGCCGUGCUUGAAUGCGGAUGCCGUGGGAGGAAUGUGUGGUGUAGCGGUGAAAUGCAUAGAUAUCACACAGAACACCGAUUGCGAAGGCAUCUCACGAAUCCGCUAUUGACGCUGAGGCACGAAAGUGUGGGGAUCAAACAGGAUUAGAUACCCUGGUAGUCCACACAGUAAACGAUGAUGACUAACCGUCGGCGAUACACAGUCGGUGGCCAAGCGAAAGCGAUAAGUCAUCCACCUGGGGAGUACGACCGCAAGGUUGAAACUCAAAGGAAUUGACGGGGGCCCGCACAAGCGGAGGAACAUGUGGUUUAAUUCGAUGAUACGCGAGGAACCUUACCCGGGCUUGAAAUCAGGAUGAACGAUCUGGAGACAGAGAGGUCUGGCAACAGCAUCCUGGUAGGUGCUGCAUGGUUGUCGUCAGCUCGUGCCGUGAGGUGUCGGCUUAAGUGCCAUAACGAGCGCAACCCUCGCUGACAGUUACUAACAGGUUAAGCUGAGGACUCUGUCGGGACUGCCACCGCAAGGUGUGAGGAAGGUGGGGAUGACGUCAAAUCAGCACGGCCCUUACGUCCGGGGCUACACACGUGUUACAAUGGGUGGGACAGAAAGAAGCCAGGCGGCGACGCCGAGCGGAUCUCCAAACCCAUCCCUAGUUCGGACUGGAGUCUGCAACCCGACUCCACGAAGCUGGAUUCGCUAGUAAUCGCGCAUCAGCCAUGGCGCGGUGAAUACGUUCCCGGGCCUUGCACACACCGCCCGUCA
RNAcentral lists this ribosomal RNA (1392 nucleotides) under uncultured bacterium. RNAcentral describes it as "16S ribosomal RNA". It matches the Rfam family "Bacterial small subunit ribosomal RNA". The record is from RNAcentral.